RNAcentral lists this ribosomal RNA (439 nucleotides) under uncultured bacterium. RNAcentral describes it as "partial 16S ribosomal RNA". It matches the Rfam family "Bacterial small subunit ribosomal RNA", at positions 339 to 795 of the family's 1533-position model. The record is from RNAcentral.
CUACGGGAGGCACCAGUGAGGAAUAUUGCACAAUGGGGGAAACCCUGAUGCAGCAACGCCGCGUGGAGGAUGACGCAUUUCGGUGUGUAAACUCCUUUUAUAUGUCAAGAAAAUGACGGUAGCAUAUGAAUAAGCACCGGCUAACUCCGUGCCAGCAGCCGCGGUAAUACGGAGGGUGCAAGCGUUACUCGGAAUCACUGGGCGUAAAGGACGCGUAGGCUGGUUGGUAAGUCAGGUGUGAAAUCCUACAGCUUAACUGUAGAACUGCACUUGAAACUACCAACCUAGAGUAUGGGAGGGGGAGAUGGAAUUAGUGGUGUAGGGGUAAAAUCCGUAGAUAUCACUAGGAAUACCGAAAGCGAAGGCGAUCUCCUGGAACAUAACUGACGCUAAGGCGUGAAAGCGUGGGGAGCAAACAGGAUUAGAUACCCCGGUAGUC